GACGAACGCUGGCGGCGUGCUUAACACAUGCGAGUCGAACGGAAAGGCCCUGCUUUUGUGGGGUGCUCGAGUGGCGAACGGGUGAGUAACACGUGAGUAACCUGCCCUUGACUUUGGGAUAACUUCAGGAAACUGGGGCUAAUACCGGAUAGGAGCUCCUGCUGCAUGGUGGGGGUUGGAAAGUUUCGGCGGUUGGGGAUGGACUCGCGGCUUAUCAGCUUGUUGGUGGGGUAGUGGCUUACCAAGGCUUUGACGGGUAGCCGGCCUGAGAGGGUGACCGGCCACAUUGGGACUGAGAUACGGCCCAGACUCCUACGGGAGGCAGCAGUGGGGAAUAUUGAACAAUGGGCGGAAGCCUGAUGCAGCAACGCCGCGUGCGGGAUGACGGCCUUCGGGUUGUAAACCGCUUUCGCCUGUGACGAAGCGUGAGUGACGGUAAUGGGUAAAGAAGCACCGGCUAACUACGUG
RNAcentral lists this ribosomal RNA (468 nucleotides) under uncultured bacterium. Its description in RNAcentral is "partial 16S ribosomal RNA". It matches the Rfam family "Bacterial small subunit ribosomal RNA", at positions 28 to 507 of the family's 1533-position model. The record is from RNAcentral.